Struthio camelus australis is the source of this 706-nucleotide non-coding RNA. The record is from RefSeq and is a predicted model, not a curated record. Lineage: Eukaryota; Metazoa; Chordata; Aves; Struthioniformes; Struthionidae.
CAGCUGACUGUGUAUGUUUUGCAGGGCUGACGCAAGGUGGAACAGGCCUUUAUAUAUUACAAGCUUUGCUAACGUUUUAUAAUGAAACCUUGGUCUGAGUUCUUGGCUGAGCGGCGUGCCCAGGCUUGAGGAGGAAUCACAACGCGAUCCCUCGAGAAGCCAAAGCAUUCUUCUCAUCGCUCUCCACUGACUAGGUGAUCACUGACAUGCUAAAUAGUUUGGCUGGAAACCAUGGCUGCUCUCUCCUCCUUUUGAUCACAUACAGCUGGACAAGGAGGGGAACCCAGGACUCAAAAGCCCUAAACAACAGGUAUGUUUCGUUCAGCCAUAUGACGUUAUCUAUUUCAAGAAAAACAGUCUUUUCACACAGACAACAGUUGAGGCUGGAAGGGACCUUUAGAGAUCAUCUAUUCCAACAGCCAUGCUCACACAGGGUCACCUAGAGCACGCUGCACAGGAACCUGUCCAGAUUGCUUUGGGAUACGUCCAAGGAUGGAGACGGCACAGCCUCUCUGGGCAAUCUGUUCUUGUGCUCAGUCACCCUCACAGUGAAAACUGUUCCACUGUUUUCUUUCUGUUCAGGCAGAGCUUCCUGUGUUUCAGUUGGUGCCCAUUACCUUUCAUCCUGCCAAGAAGAUGAAAAAGUCUGGCCCUUUCCUUUUUACAUCAUCUCUUCAGAUAUGAUGGUAUCUUAACAUAUGGUUAA